This 497-nucleotide ribosomal RNA is filed under the name Bacillus paramycoides. RNAcentral describes it as "bacterial SSU rRNA". It matches the Rfam family "Bacterial small subunit ribosomal RNA", at positions 53 to 528 of the family's 1533-position model. Lineage: Bacteria; Bacillati; Bacillota; Bacilli; Caryophanales; Bacillaceae. The record is from RNAcentral.
ACAUGCAGUCGAGCGAAUGGAUUAAGAGCUUGCUCUUAUGAAGUUAGCGGCGGACGGGUGAGUAACACGUGGGUAACCUGCCCAUAAGACUGGGAUAACUCCGGGAAACCGGGGCUAAUACCGGAUAACAUUUUGAACCGCAUGGUUCGAAAUUGAAAGGCGGCUUCGGCUGUCACUUAUGGAUGGACCCGCGUCGCAUUAGCUAGUUGGUGAGGUAACGGCUCACCAAGGCAACGAUGCGUAGCCGACCUGAGAGGGUGAUCGGCCACACUGGGACUGAGACACGGCCCAGACUCCUACGGGAGGCAGCAGUAGGGAAUCUUCCGCAAUGGACGAAAGUCUGACGGAGCAACGCCGCGUGAGUGAUGAAGGCUUUCGGGUCGUAAAACUCUGUUGUUAGGGAAGAACAAGUGCUAGUUGAAUAAGCUGGCACCUUGACGGUACCUAACCAGAAAGCCACGGCUAACUACGUGCCAGCAGCGGCCCCGGUAAUAAAA